Molecule: ribosomal RNA, 914 nt
Filed under: uncultured marine archaeon
Lineage: Archaea
Description: bacterial SSU rRNA
Rfam family: Archaeal small subunit ribosomal RNA
Source: RNAcentral
UUCCGGUUGAUCCUGCCGGAGGCUACCGCUAUUGGAGUUCGAUUAAGCCAUGCGAGUCGCGAGUCCUAGGGACUCGGCGUACCGCUCAGUAACACGUGGGUAACCUGCCCUAUGCUGGGGGAUAACCUCGGGAAACUGAGAAUAAUACCCCAUAGUUCACCACGCCUGGAACGGUGGGUGGAUGAAAGCUCCGGCGGCAUAGGAUGGGCCUGCGGCGUAUCAGGUUGUAGGGGGUGUAAUGUACCCUCUAGCCAUCUACGCGUACGGGUGUUGGGAGACAUAGCCCGGAGAUGGAUUCUGAGACACGAAUCCAGACCCUACGGGGUGCAGCAGGCGCGAAAACUUGGCAAUGCGAGCAAUCGUGACCAGGGAACUCCAAGUGCAUCGGGUAAGACCGAUGCUUUUCUAGACUCUUCAAAGGUCUUGGAAUAAGGGGUGGGUAAGGACGGUGCCAGCCGCCGCGGUAAUACCGGCGCCCCAAGUGGUAGUCGCUUUUAUUGGGCCUAAAACGUCCGUAGCCGGUUUGGUACAUUCGUGGGUAAAUCAAGGCGCUCAACGCCUUGAAUUCUGCGAGCACGGCCAGACUUGGGACCGGGUGAGGUGUGGGGUACUCUCAGGGUAGGGGUAAAAUCCUGUCAUCCUGAGAGGACCACCUGUUGCGAAGGCGCCACACUAGAACGGAUCCGACGGUCAGGGACGAAGCCUAGGGGCACGAACCGGAUUAGAUACCCGGGUAGUCCUAGGUGUAAACGCUGUGGACUUGAUGUUGGGAGUGCUCCGAGCACCCUCAGUGUCGAAGCGAAGGUGAUAAGUCCACUGCCUGGGGAGUACGGUCGCAAGGCUGAAACUUAAAGGAAUUGGCGGGGGAGCACUGCAACCUGAGGAUUGUGCGGUUUAAUUGGAUUCAACGCCGG